AACCCAGCGAACUGAAAUAUCUAAGUAGCUGGAGGAAAGGACAUCAACCGAGACUCCGUUAGUAGUGACGAGCGAACGCGGACCAGGCCAGUGGCCAAUUUGAAGAUAACCGGAAUAACCUGGAAAGGUUAGCCAUAGUAGGUGAUAGCCCCGUACGGGUAAUGCUUCAUUUUGGUCCUUGAGUAGGGCGGGACACGAGAAAUCCUGCUUGAACAUGGGGGGACCACCCUCCAAGCCUAAGUACUACUCUGUGACCGAUAGCGAACAAGUACCGUGAGGGAAAGGUGAAAAGAACCCCUAUGAGGGGAGUGAAACAGACCUGAAACCGAAUGCUUACAAACAGUAGGAGCAACAUUAAGUUGUGACUGCGUACCUUUUGUAUAAUGGGUCAGCGAGUUAAUUUAUCGAGCAAGCUUAAGCCGUUAGGUGUAGGCGAAGCGAAAGCGAGUAUGAAUAGUGCGUUUUAGUUCGAUGGAUUAGACCCGAAACCGGGUGAUCUAGCUAUGGGCAGGUUGAAGGUGCGGUAACACGCACUGGAGGACCGAACCCACGUCUGUUGAAAAAGACGGGGAUGACCUGUGGCUAGGGGUGAAAGGCCAAUCAAACCCGGAGAUAGCUGGUUCUCCGCGAAAACUAUUUAGGUAGUGCGUUAUAUAUUACUGCCGGGGGUAGAGCACUGGAUGGGCUAGGGGGGCGCGAGCCUUACCAAACCUAACCAAACUCCGAAUACCGGUAAGUACAGUAUAGCAGA
Molecule: ribosomal RNA, 751 nt
Filed under: uncultured bacterium
Lineage: Bacteria
Description: bacterial LSU rRNA
Rfam family: Bacterial large subunit ribosomal RNA
Source: RNAcentral